GCCAGACUCCUACGGGAGGCAGCAGUGGGGAAUAUUGCACAAUGGGGGAAACCCUGAUGCAGCGACGCCGCGUGGGUGAAGAAGUACUUCGGUACGUAAAGCCCUAUCAGCAGGGAAGAAAAUGACGGUACCUGAUUAAGAAGCCCCGGCUAACUACGUGCCAGCAGCCGCGGUAAUACGUAGGGGGCAAGCGUUAUCCGGAUUUACUGGGUGUAAAGGGAGCGUAGACGGCCAUGCAAGCCAGGGGUGAAGGCCCGGGGCCCAACCCCGGGACUGCCCUUGGAACUGCAUGGCUGGAGUGCGGGAGGGGCAGGCGGAAUUCCUGGUGUAGCGGUGAAAUGCGUAGAUAUCAGGAGGAACACCGGCGGCGAAGGCGGCCUGCUGGACCGCGACUGACGUUGAGGCUCGAAAGCGUGGGGAGCGAACAGGAUUAGAUACCCUUGUAAAG
Molecule: ribosomal RNA, 448 nt
Filed under: uncultured bacterium
Lineage: Bacteria
Description: bacterial SSU rRNA
Rfam family: Bacterial small subunit ribosomal RNA
Source: RNAcentral